Molecule: long non-coding RNA, 873 nt
Filed under: Mus musculus (house mouse)
Lineage: Eukaryota; Metazoa; Chordata; Mammalia; Rodentia; Muridae
Description: RIKEN cDNA 1700030N03 gene
Source: RNAcentral
AGUAAUAGCAGAGUGCUUAGCCUGAGGAUAGCUCAGAGCCCAGCAAGGAGGGCUGGGAUUCACACUGAGCACGUGUGUCUCCCUCGGCUUGGGCUAUUUUCUAGGAUGGACUACCUGAAAUUCAUCACGUCCACAUCCAUAUGUGUGAAACUGCAUGAGGAGGACAUGGAAUGAUGCCACAUAUCUUGCUACAAAUAUGUAUAAACAGUUGCUGUUUCCAAGAUGCCUUUCCAGACUAGAACCCAGACAUGUGAGCCACUGGCCAGACACAACAGUGCUGGAGGAGCUGAGAAUUCUUAUUGACCUGAAGGCUGCUAGAAGAAGACCGGUAGCUAGGAGGAGAGUUUCAAAUCCCACCAAUGUUGACACACUUCCUCAAACAAGGGUCCAUCUACUCCAACAAGACCGCAUACCUGCUAAUGUUGCUACUCUCUGGGCCAAAUUUCUUCAAACCACCACAAGGACAUUCAGGAAUUAUGGUUGAUGACUUUGUUGUUUCAAGCCAGCUGAUACUGUAGCCAGAGGACAAACACCUGCAGAAGUUCUCUUAUGGGUGCCAGCAUAGCCUCACAAGAAACACCUAUAUCAGGAUCAUUUCAGCAAAAUCUUUCUGGUGUAUGCAAUGGUGUCACCGUUUGGAAGUUGACUAUGGGAUGGAUUCCCAGCCUGAAACCUGCUUGCUCAGGGGUGGAGCUUCCCGCUCAAUCGUUCUGCCAUGCCCACUGCUGGAACCUGCUGCUUUGCUGCUUGGAGCCACACACGUGUUAACCCUGCUACUGGACCCCAAGACCAGAUGGCGGGAAUCAGGUUCCCUACCCCUUCCUUUAUAACUGAAUGUCGGAACUAAUAAAAUUGAGCUUUGAAAAGGAUGAA